This 499-nucleotide ribosomal RNA is filed under the name uncultured bacterium. RNAcentral's name for it is "partial 16S ribosomal RNA". It matches the Rfam family "Bacterial small subunit ribosomal RNA", at positions 30 to 523 of the family's 1533-position model. The record is from RNAcentral.
AUUGAACGCUGGCGGAAUGCUUUACACAUGCAAGUCGAACGGCAGCACGGACCUCGGUCUGGUGGCGAGUGGCGAACGGGUGAGUAAUGUAUCGGAACGUGCCAGUCGUGGGGGAUAACGUAGUGAAAAUUACGCUAAUACCGCAUACGAUCUAUGGAUGAAAGCGGGGGAUCGCAAGACCUUGCGCGAUUGGAGCGGCCGAUAUCAGAUUAGGUAGUUGGUGGGGUAAAGGCCCACCAAGCCAACGAUCUGUAGCUGGUCUGAGAGGACGACCAGCCACACUGGAACUGAGACACGGUCCAGACUCCUACGGGAGGCAGCAGUGGGGAAUUUUGGACAAUGGGCGAAAGCCUGAUCCAGCCAUUCCGCGUGCAGGAUGAAGGCCCUCGGGUUGUAAACUGCUUUUGUACAGAACGAAAAGGUUUCUACUAAUACUAGGAGCUCAUGACGGUACUGUAAGAAUAAGCACCGGCUAACUACGUGCCAGCAGCCGCGGUAA